Molecule: long non-coding RNA, 4315 nt
Organism: Gasterosteus aculeatus aculeatus (three-spined stickleback)
Lineage: Eukaryota; Metazoa; Chordata; Actinopteri; Perciformes; Gasterosteidae
Source: Ensembl
AUGGACACAGUCAAAGUUGCAAUUGAUUUGAAAGGAAAUGGACAUUUUUGAGGAGAUGCCCGAGAGGGGAAAGACUUCAUUUUAAUCCCGUAUUCGCUUCACUGGUCUGGAACCUGAGCAGCUCUAUCGUCUAAGGUAAGAGGAAUUAAAUGUUUUUUUUAAUGUUUAAUCUUAGCAUUCAAUGGAGAUAAUACCUAUGAAAGAGAAAGUGUGCAUAGGCUACUCAAAUCAUGCAUGAUUAACGCGCACACUCGCAGUGUGGAUUCAAUGAGGCCCAUAUUUAAAUAUAUCGUUAUAUGUAGGACAAAAAUAUUAAAUUACAUAACAAGUCAGCAUCACACAGAGAGCAACCUAAUUGGCACGAUAAGAUUGAAAAUAAAUUGAAUUGUGGAAACUUACGGACUCAAGGCGGCCGUCAGCUUCAGGCUGUGGUGACGGUUCAGGUAAAGAGGCAUCAGGUGGGACAGCCGUAGUGCUGGCCGCUGCAGGAGUGCUACAGCUGGCAAACACCGAAACACCAAAUGUUUCCUGUCCCAAAGACCGAGAAGGCGUCGUACUCCAUCCGCUUGGUGGGCAUCCAGUCCUCAAAUACUGAAGUUCAUGUCCUCCAACGGUCCCACCUCAAUGACGUCAGUGUUCGCGGUUCACCGCUUGAGUAACUGAAAGAUUUGGGUGCGUUACAUUUGACGAAGAAGUGCAAGAAGAGCGGCUCAAUUUCUACGAUACCGCCUGUUAAUGCUUCAGGGAGCUGAUGAAUCUAAGAUGGAUACUUUUGACGAUGCCACUCUAUCGGUGUUGGAGGCUGCCAGUGUUGAUGAGGAGGCUUUGAAAGGCCUUAGCCGGGAUGACCUGAGGGAUCUUUUUCCUGGCCCAGAGAAUUUCCUCAAAAGAAAGAAACUUUGGAAUUUCAUCAGUGAAAAUUGUGAAAAUACCACGGACCAAGAUGCCAACAAUUGUGCCAUGCCACCAUGCCAGCCUCAAACCUCAACCCCCAUAUCUGCUGAGAAAAAAAUGAAAAUGCCAGACCCUCCAGAGUAUGUGGUGUACACAGAUUCAGAGUUAGACAUGGUGCGUAGUCAAUACUUUGCACUGCUCUGCAAUGGAAAGGAAAAAAAUUACAAACUGUCCAAGGAGCUAUGUUGCAGACUUGUAAGGAACACAAUAACCAGUAUGGUUGCUAUCCUGCGUGCUAGUCCCAUGGGGAAAGAAGUCAGUUACCCGUCAAAAUUGGAAAUAAGAGCCAUGUCACAGAAGAUUAUAGACUAUUACCCAAUGUUACGGGAUGAUGAUCCAAACAUGCCUUAUCUGACUAUCUACACCAAAAUGUACAAGCGACUCCAAAAUAUGAGAUCCCCACGGAAGAGGCAAGGCUCUGUACCACAAAGAGGAGCGGCAAAGACAGCUCUCUUCAGUGCAGACAACCAAGACAUGGAGACGGAUUGGACAGACACAAGCAACUCAAGUGAUAAUACCUUACUUCUUGAGAGCAAUGAUGACCUUACCGAGGACAACUCCAGUGAAGCAUUCCCAGCACAUCGACCCCCCUCUGUGCCAAGGAAGCCAAAGACCAAAACCUUCCUGCUGCCAUCCGCAUCAGCCUCAGGCUCCUCACUCAGGACUGUGAUCGCUUCACCAACCACGCCUGCAAAGGAUGAUGUUGUCGGCCAGGACAGUCUGAAAAUGCAGGCUAAGCACUACAAAACCUUGAGCAACAUGUACAAUAAGCCAAAUGCAAAACCCAAUCAAAGUGAUGUUGCUCAAGUUUUAGACCUUGAGUUUAAGGCCAGACGGGCUUUCAUUGAUGCAGAUGUUACAAGGGAAGAAGACCGACCUGCAAAAAUCUUUGAGGCAUAUCCAUGCUUUAGAGAUGUUCGAAAUGCAAUGGAUGAGCUGCGGCGCAUAGUAGGUGGCACCAACAGCAGAUACAUCGAGGAAGUGAAAGGAAGAUGGGUAGACUUUUGUGCCAAGGUGCAGUUCUAUGGUGUGUGGAAGAAAGCCCUGAAACCCCCCUUUCCAUCGGAUGUCCGUGGAGUGGAGUUCACGCUUGCCCUCUUCAAUGCACUCCCAUCCCUUUUCCCCUCACCAACUUCACCACCAAAGAAGCUUGGAAAUAGCUGUGAGGCACUUCUUCAUGUCCUGAAGUCAGGCGAAGACCCUGCCCUGUACCUGGAAAAGCAUCCUCUCUCCUCCCCAGUUCUGCUUUCUGAUGGCUCAACCACCAUUGUGGCUGUGGGUAAUGUACCUGUGACCACCCUCCCUCAGGAAGAUUUCUCAGACGGGAUGUUGGUGUUAAUGGCAUAUUACUACACUUUGCACUUAAGAUAUCCAAAAUGUGUUGCAACGCUCCUGUCAGUAAUUCAAACAGAGGUAAUUGGUGACACAAUCCACGAUCAAGAUGCCACUAGUGCUUACAGGAAAGCAAUGGCUGAUUGGAAGUAUUUCAUUGAGAAGUAGCUGAGUAUUUUGUCAUGCCAGUUCUUAUUGUUAGCUGUGAGUUCUUAUUGUUAGCUGUGCCUAAUAAUAGUUUUGUGUUGCACAAGCUUAUACAGUCACUGAGUUAUUACCUCAUUUAGGCCUGUAUUUAAAAUGAUAGUUAAGGAAAAAUCCAUAACUGAGGGCUGAGAAGUGUUUUUGUUUUUUGCCCUUUUGCUUUUAAUUUCUUUUAUUUUUAUGGAAAAGUAUUCAAAUGUCUAUAGCAAACUUGACUUGCUGAUGUUAAAUAAAUGUUGUCUUAAGCCAUGUUAUUUCUGCACCAUUAUUCUAAAAAAGGACAGGCUUUAGAUUUUAAGAUGCUCAAAGUAAGAAAACAAAAUGGGUAAUUGCUUAUAUUUAGUAUAUUUCACUUAUUUUGAGGCUGUAAAAGUUUAAAUUUAAGUAAUCUAGUCUUAAAAACAGCAUUUUAUGCUUAUAUUUAGUAUAUUUCACUUAUUCUGAGGUUGUAAAAAGUUUAUUUUAAGUUAUCUAGACUUAAAACCAGCAUUCUAUGCUUUUAUUUAGUAUAAUUCACUUAUUUUAAGGCUGUAAAAAGUUUAAAUUUAAGUAAUCUCAUUUUACAACCAGCAUUUUAUGCUUAUAUUUAGUAUAAUUCACUUAUUUUGAGGCUGUAAAAGUUUAAAUUUAAGUAAUCUAGUCUUAAAAACAGCAUUGUAUGCUUAUAUUUAGUAUAUUUCACUUAUUCUGAGGCUGUAAAAAGUUUAUUUUAAGUUAUCUAGACUUAAAACCAGCAUUCUAUGCUUUUAUUUAGUAUAAUUCACUUAUUUUAAGGCUGUAAAAAGUUUAAAUUUAAGUAAUCUCAUUUUACAACCAGCAUUUUAUGCUUAUAUUUAGUAUAAUUCACUUAUUUUGAGGCUUUAAAAAGUUUAAAUUUAAGUAAUCUGAUCUUAAACCCAGCAUUUUCAUCUUAUGUUAAGCCUUCCAAAUACCUCUUUAGACAAGCUUAUUUCUAGAUUUAAUUAUCUUAAUUCAAGAAAUCUUGUCAAGUGAAAUUAUCUAGCUGCAUGGACAGAUAAUUUCACUUGUUUUGAGUACAUUUUACCUUAAAUUUAGUUUUUUUUAUCUUGUUUUGAGACACCCUUUUUUUGCAGUGUGGAAAAGUCCUUUUCCCCGGACGGUCCCCUGGAGCCUGACGGACGGUCAGUGAAUCCUGUUCGUGACGCCAAAUUGUUGUGGAAUAUUUCAAUAAAAGCUCCGUAAAAGAGAAUGAUUUGUCUGAUAAAACAGAGUCUUGAUGAAUGAUCAAAGUUGCAAAAAGUUUUUAUUACAUUUAUUGCUUGCAAGCAGGAGGUCAAAUACACAGGCACGUAUCACAGUGCUCUGUGGAAAUGGCGUCUCCGAGCACUAAAGACGCUGACUUUUUAUACACAUGUGAAGAACAUUCUCCGUGCCAGCUACGAGAAGCUGCAAAGCAGGUUGAGAUAAGAACCCAGGUGAAGCUGAGGGUAGCACACACACACACACACACACAAGAUCCUCCUCAGUGGCCGGUGCAAAUCAUAAUUAAUUGACAUGAAAGUAAAACUUGGAUCCAGAACUUUCGUACAGAAUAAGAUAUCAACCAAGGCCAUGAACAGGAGUCCUUUGUUUUGAAGCUUCUAUGAGAUCGAGUCAACCGUCCUCCCUUCUCAGGGCACAGCUGCAAACUAACAUUUUGUAUCAUGCUGCUCUUUGCACAUCGGGGUCAAAUACAGGACACUUGAGACACGGCUUUAGCACAAAACAAUGUUAUAACAUAUUUUUACCAUUACACUCUUCAUAAAGCCUUCAAUCUUCCAUAGAAUACCUACUGCUAAUUCUCUCCUCACUCGGCUCUCAGGGG